Molecule: transfer RNA, 71 nt
Filed under: Gammaproteobacteria bacterium
Lineage: Bacteria; Pseudomonadati; Pseudomonadota; Gammaproteobacteria
Description: tRNA-Arg
Rfam family: tRNA
About the family: Transfer RNA (tRNA) molecules are approximately 80 nucleotides in length.
Source: RNAcentral
GGUCCCAUAGUUCUAUGGAUAGAAUAUAAGUUUCCUAAACUUUUGAUACAGGUUCGAUUCCUGUCGGACUA